UCAAAUGAUGCGGUAAUUUGCGAUUGACCCGGUGUCUGUGGAUCUCCCGCCAGAGAUCUAUACAGCAUUGGCGUAUGAUAUUCAUUUCUUACAUAUUCUGAAC
This 103-nucleotide small nucleolar RNA is filed under the name Aspergillus clavatus NRRL 1. RNAcentral's name for it is "A. fumigatus snoRNA Afu_514". It matches the Rfam family "A. fumigatus snoRNA Afu_514". The record is from Rfam by way of RNAcentral. Lineage: Eukaryota; Fungi; Ascomycota; Eurotiomycetes; Eurotiales; Aspergillaceae.